CCUAGGAAGCUUGUAAAAAUGUAACUCUUUGGGUAAAUCCCAAAUCUCCUGGACUGGAGUCCAGGGAAUACUCGGCAACCUGCAUUUUAAACAAACUUACCAGGGAAAGUCUUGUGAACUUGGACUUGAGCAGGAGUGAGGUGAGGCGACGUAGGCAGCAGGAAGAGGAUUAUUUCCUCCAAGACCUUUACUCCUAAGGGACACCUUUUCAACAGUUUUUAGAGGUAAUGUGAUGAAACGGCACUUUAACACUGAGUAACAAUGACUGUGGUUACUAUAGGAAGACCGGAGCAGAAGCUGAAUGAGUGCAAGACCUGAGGCCAGGAGGAGGGAGUCCAGAUGAUGCCUGUUCCGGUUCUCUGCUUUCUGCCUUCUCCGGCUGCAGGCCCUGCCCUCUGGCCGGCCCCGCUCCCAGGCCAGCUGCUUCUGAUCAGUUUCUAAUUCACAUUGUCUCUGGAAGACAAGGCGGCAAGGGAUGUCCUUGAGGAUUGAUGACAACUGUGAGCAUGGAGCAACAACAGCUCCUGGGAGAUAAAAUUGGUUCACAAACGUCAAACGGGAGGAUCCUUAUAAGUGAUUUACCUACAGGAGAUGGUCAUCUUCAGAUGCCCUCAAAUGGUGCUUAUCUCCAAGGAUAUUCAUACCCUUGGGAAGCCCUCUCCUCUAAUGAGUAGGGCUGACCUGCUUUACAGUAGAAUAUCACAGAAAUGACAGCAUGUGACUUCUUGGAUGGGGCCAUCUUAGACACGACUCUGCCUCUUGCUUCACUCAUUCUGGGAGAAGGUGGCUGCCAUGUUAUGAGAACACUCAAGUGGCCUUAAGGGAGUUCAUUGGAGCCAGGAACGGAAACCUGCUGCUAAUUUGCGAGCCACGUGCAUGAGGCACCUUGGAACAAAUCCUCCAACUCCAAACCUUCGGAUGACUGCAGCCCGAGGUGACAUCCUGACUCUAACCUCGGGAGCAAUUCCACACCGCAGACCCCAAGUUCAGCCACUUCCUGUUUCCUGACCUACAGAAACUGUGCAGCUACUCAGUAUGGGAACAAUCUGUUAUGCAACAAUAAUCAACCCUUCAGCUUUGCAGCCGUCUCGAAAGGCUUAGGGACCCGCAUGGCUUUGGGAAGAGCAAUUCAUUCUAAGCCAAUUUAAUUUCCUUCCAUGAUGAAGUGGCCUGGCACAUGGAUAAGAGAGAAAUAAGUGUGUCUCCCUGCCCCAGGAGGGCUUUUAAUCUGAUACCACUUGCCAUUCUCAUCAACAUGCGAGAGGCGGGGCCUGAAAAGUGGUUCAUUGAUUUGGCCCUGGGAGAACUGAUGUGGGAGCUAAUCUAGCACCUGCUGGAGGGAAAGAGUAUGGAUACUGCUACGGUCUGAAAGUGACCCCUAAAGUUCAUGUGCUGGAAACUUAACCCCCAAUGCAACCAUGCUGGGGGGUUUUGAAAAGUUCUUAGGUCAAGAAAACUCUGUUAUGAAUGCCAUUAUAAAAGGGCAUUGUGGAGGGGGUGUGGCCCUUCUUUACCUUUCUGUUGCCUCUGCCUAGUGAAAGUCCAGAAUUCAGGGUGCCAUCUUGGAAGCAGAGACCAAGUCCUUACCAGCACCUUGAUGUCAGACUUUCCAGACUUGAGAAGUAUGAGAGAUACAUUGCUAUUGCUUCUAUAAACUAUUCAAUUUGUGGUAUGUUGUUACAGCUGCACAAAUGGACUACACAGACACCAACAGCAAUCUGAAUACUAACACUGAACUCUUUGCUAAGACUCUUAUUAACAUUGCUGAUAUCCCUCAUCUUAACACCUCCCCCUGGGGAAGCCCAAGUUCUACCAAGUUCACUAACCAUCUUGUCCUUUAACAAGCAGAGAAAAUGGUGUUGGCUCCUACUACAGCGCAUUGACACAUGUUCUUCAAAAACUCCACAGGUUUCCGGAAACGCACACCUUCUUGUGGCCAGCAGGAGCUACAACCUUGGUGACUACUGUCAUCAGCCCUCAGCCAUCAUCCUGUCCUCCUGAGGAUGCUGUCUCCUCCCCUUCUCUGCUAUCCUGACCAUCUCAUAUUCUCCAUGUGCCAAAGCACAUGAGCAUGAGGUGUGUUCCUGAGAGAUUCUGUGGAUGAGGGGAGGACUAUCAAAAUCCUGCAGAGCAGAUAAAUUAAAACAAAACGUAGCAUCCUGG
Long non-coding RNA from Chinchilla lanigera (long-tailed chinchilla), 2163 nucleotides. NCBI's taxonomy places the organism in Eukaryota, Metazoa, Chordata, Mammalia, Rodentia, Chinchillidae. The record is from Ensembl.